GACCUAUUGUUAUGGGAGUAGUUACUACUGAGUUUUCGGAUAUGGCAACACUGAUGUGAAUAUGUCAUAUCUGACAUUGACAUAAUGAAGUUUUACAUUUUUUAACGUUUUUCUCGUUUAUGUUGAUAUUGAGGACGUUCAACUUGUCACAAAAAAAAAAUAUUAUAUUACGAUGUUGAUUGAAAAUACGUUUAUUUUCGUUAAUAAUGUUUUCGAAUGAAUCCGGUCCUGUUUUCUAUAGGUAUAAGUAAACCGGUUUUAUUUUUUCGUUAAACGUGUUUCAUAAAAUAUAUUUUUAGAUUACAACAAA
Molecule: long non-coding RNA, 310 nt
Organism: Diorhabda carinulata
Lineage: Eukaryota; Metazoa; Arthropoda; Insecta; Coleoptera; Chrysomelidae
Exons: 2
Source: RefSeq, a predicted model, not a curated record